RNAcentral lists this ribosomal RNA (492 nucleotides) under uncultured bacterium. Its description in RNAcentral is "partial 16S ribosomal RNA". It matches the Rfam family "Bacterial small subunit ribosomal RNA", at positions 29 to 507 of the family's 1533-position model. The record is from RNAcentral.
AGUGAACGCUGGCGGUAGGCCUAACACAUGCAAGUCGAACGGCAGCACAGUAAGCGCUUGCUCUUACGGGUGGCGAGUGGCGGACGGGUGAUGAAUACAUCGGAAUCUACUUUUUCUUGGGGGAUAACGUCGGGAAACUUACGCUAAUACCGCAUACGACCUACGGGUGAAAGCAGGGGAGCUUCGGACCUUGCGCGAUUGAAUGAGCCCAUGUCGGAUUAGCUAGUUGGCGGGGUAAAGGCCCAACAAGGCGACGAUCCGUAGCUGGUCUGAUGGGGUGAUCAGCCACACUGGAACUGAGACACGGUCCAGACUCCUACGGGAGGGAGGAGUGGGGAAUAUUGGACAAUGGGCGCAAGCCUGAUGCAGCCAUGCCGCGUGGGUGAAGAAGGUCUUCGGGUUGUAAAGCCCUUUUGUUGGGAAAGAAAAGCAGUAGGUUUAUAUCCCGCUGUUCUGACGGUACCUAAAGAAUAAGCACCGGCUAACUUCGUG